UCUUUCUGGAUACCAAAAUGAUAUGUUUUUUAAUGUUAUCAGAUUCCAGUGAAGUUAACAAAAAAAUAUGUUUUGCGGUAUUGAAUGAAAACACAUGAAAACGUACAAAGAGAAUCUAAAGUCGACUAUUUACAAGUAUAAGUAUAUGAACGAACGACAAGAACAUUUAAUGUAUAAAUGAAAAGAAUAAGAUUACUAUGUUAACAUUCUAAUAUUUAUGUCAA
This 224-nucleotide long non-coding RNA is filed under the name Mytilus galloprovincialis (Mediterranean mussel). Lineage: Eukaryota; Metazoa; Mollusca; Bivalvia; Mytilida; Mytilidae. The record is from RNAcentral.